UACGGGGGGAGCAAGCGUUGUUCGGAUUUACUGGGCGUAAAGGGCGCGUAGGCGGCCACCGCAAGUCGACUGUGAAAUCUCCGGGCUUAACCCGGAAAGGUCAGCCGAUACUGCGGGGCUAGAGUGCAGAAGGGGCAACUGGAAUUCUCGGUGUAGCGGUGAAAUGCGUAGAUAUCAAGAGGAACACCUGCGGCGAAGGCGGGUUGCUGGGCCGACACUGACGCUGAGGCGCGAAAGCUAGGGGAGCGAACGGG
Molecule: ribosomal RNA, 254 nt
Filed under: uncultured bacterium
Lineage: Bacteria
Description: partial 16S ribosomal RNA
Rfam family: Bacterial small subunit ribosomal RNA
Source: RNAcentral